Molecule: ribosomal RNA, 429 nt
Filed under: Bacillota bacterium
Lineage: Bacteria; Bacillati; Bacillota
Description: Firmicutes bacterium partial 16S ribosomal RNA
Rfam family: Bacterial small subunit ribosomal RNA
Source: RNAcentral
UAGGGAAUCUUCGGCAAUGGACGGAAGUCUGACCGAGCAACGCCGCGUGAGUGAAGAAGGUUUUCGGAUCGUAAAGCUCUGUUGUUAGAGAAGAACGUUGGCAGGAGUGGAAAAUCUACCAAGUGACGGUAGCUAACCAGAAAGGGACGGCUAACUACGUGCCAGCAGCCGCGGUAAUACGUAGGUCCCGAGCGUUGUCCGGAUUUAUUGGGCGUAAAGCGAGCGCAGGCGGUUCUUUAAGUCUGAAGUUAAAGGCAGUGGCUUAACCAUUGUACGCUUUGGAAACUGGAGGACUUGAGUGCAGAAGGGGAGAGUGGAAUUCCAUGUGUAGCGGUGAAAUGCGUAGAUAUAUGGAGGAACACCGGUGGCGAAAGCGGCUCUCUGGUCUGUAACUGACGCUGAGGCUCGAAAGCGUGGGGAGCAAACAGG